GGAGUUAUAGUCAACUAUGAUAUAUGAAUUGCAACCAUAAGGUGUUUUUAAACUAACUUCA
RNAcentral lists this transfer RNA (61 nucleotides) under Neoglyphea inopinata. RNAcentral describes it as "tRNA-Ala". Lineage: Eukaryota; Metazoa; Arthropoda; Malacostraca; Decapoda; Glypheidae. The record is from RNAcentral.